UACGUAGGGUGCAAGCGUUGUCCGGAAUUAUUGGGCGUAAAGAGCUCGUAGGCGGUUUGUUGCGUCGGCUGUGAAAUCCCGAGGCUCAACCUCGGGUCUGCAGUCGAUACGAGCAAACUAGAGUGUUGCAGGGGGAGACUGGAAUUCCUGGUGUAGCGGUGAAAUGCGCAGAUAUCAGGAGGAACACCGGUGGCGAAGGCGGGUCUCUGGACAGUUCCUGACGGCUGAGGCACGAAGGUCAGGGGAGCAAACGGG
Molecule: ribosomal RNA, 255 nt
Filed under: uncultured bacterium
Lineage: Bacteria
Description: partial 16S ribosomal RNA
Rfam family: Bacterial small subunit ribosomal RNA
Source: RNAcentral